UGGGAAGUCGCCAAGUGGUGAAGGCACCGGGUUUUGAUCCCGGCAUUCGAAGGUUCGAGUCCUUCCUUCCCAG
RNAcentral lists this transfer RNA (73 nucleotides) under Candidatus Ornithospirochaeta stercoripullorum. Its description in RNAcentral is "tRNA-Gln". It matches the Rfam family "tRNA". Rfam says of the family: Transfer RNA (tRNA) molecules are approximately 80 nucleotides in length. Their secondary structure includes four short double-helical elements and three loops (D, anti-codon, and T loops). Further hydrogen bonds mediate the characteristic L-shaped molecular structure. tRNAs have two regions of fundamental functional importance: the anti-codon, which is responsible for specific mRNA codon recognition, and the 3' end, to which the tRNAs corresponding amino acid is attached (by aminoacyl-tRNA synthetases). tRNAs cope with the degeneracy of the genetic code in two manners: having more than one tRNA (with a specific anti-codon) for a particular amino acid; and 'wobble' base-pairing, i.e. permitting non-standard base-pairing at the 3rd anti-codon position. Lineage: Bacteria; Pseudomonadati; Spirochaetota; Spirochaetia; Spirochaetales; Spirochaetaceae. The record is from RNAcentral.